This 48-nucleotide non-coding RNA is filed under the name Alexandrium minutum. The record is from RNAcentral. Lineage: Eukaryota; Dinophyceae; Gonyaulacales; Pyrocystaceae.
CAAAAAAAAAAAAAAAAAAAAAAAAAAAAAAAAAAAAAAAAAAAAAAA